UACUACUUCCUUACGGCAACUACAGACUUUUCGACUAAGCAUGGAAAUUAGUUUAUCAUCAAUCUAGUUACCAAGAUUGAAUACGAACGAAGAGCUACUGCAGGAUUGCUAUAGCUUUAGCUUUUUCUGGUCUUUUUGAGAAAAAGCUUUUUCUUGUCUUAGUUCGUAGAAUGGAAGGCUUUUUCCAUGCAUUAUUUUUUCUCAUCAUUCUGCUACAUGUGAUCUCCAUCGCCCGGUGCACUGCCGCCGCUGCCGCCGGGAUCAAAGAAGCUGCAUCCGACCGCGCCGCCCUCCUCUCCCUCAAGUCCCUCGUCGAGGACGAUCCGUUCGGAGCGCUCUCCUCGUGGAACAACGGCUCUCUUCACUACUGCAGGUGGCGCGGUGUCUCCUGUGGCCGCCGCCAUCCCAACCGGGUCACGGCCCUCGACCUCACGUCUCUCCGCCUAGCCGGUCUCAUAUCGCCCUCCGUAGCCAACCUCACAUUCAUCCAGAGGAUCGACCUGUCCGACAACAUGCUAGACGGGAGCAUCCCAGAGGAGCUAGGAAGCCUACGCCGGCGGCUGCGAUAUCUCAACCUGAGUGUGAAUUCUCUUCGCGGAACGAUCCCGUCUUCGCUCGGCAAUUGCUCAAAUCUUCAACUACUCAACUUGACAGAUAAUAAGCUCAAUGGUGAGAUCCCGCCGACCCUAUCGCGUCUUUCCGGUCUUAGAAAGCUUAUCCUGCGUUGGAACAUGUUACAAGGAGCAAUCCCUUCCAAUCUAACACUGUGUCAAGAGCUUCAGGUUAUUGAUCUAAGUCAUAACAUUCUCACGGAAGAAAUUCCACCAGAGCUUGGCUAUCUCCAAAAGCUAAGAGGGUUAGCACUCAGCUACAAUAAUCUUACAGGAGCCAUCCCUGCUACUUUGGGCAAUCUUGCUCAGCUUCAAUACCUUUAUCUACAAUUCAAUAGCUUUAUUGGACCCAUCCCAGAUUCAAUUGGCAACCUCUCCUCCCUACAAUUUCUUCUUUUAGAUGAUAAUAGCCUGUCAGGACCCAUGCCUCCAUCCUUUGGUAGCCUUCUCUCCUUGAAGAUACUUGAAAUCGAAUUCGCUGGUCUCACAGGAACCAUUCCGCCCACUCUCACAAAUCUCUCCGCUCUGAACGAGCUUGCACUACGAGGAAACAACCUUCAUGGUGAAAUUCCUCACUUUGCGAAACUUCCAUUCCUCUCUAUCUUGGACUGUGCUGUUAAUUAUCUCUCAGGGACGAUCCCAAUCUCGCUCGGACGACUUUCAUCUCUCCAAUAUCUCAAUCUCGGGAUGAACAACUUAACAGGGGAAAUACCGUCAUCCCUUUACAAUCUAUCAUCCCUGACGGCCUUAGUACUCCCUCAUAACCAACUCAAGGGAACUCUACCCUACGAUAUCGGAAAUGCACUUCCGAACCUUCAAUUGCUUCUUAUGUAUGAGAAUCAGCUCGGGGGGCGAAUUCCGGCAUCCUUGUCCAAUGCUUCUGAGCUCAACAACAUUGAGCUAUCGGUCUAUGCAUUCCACGGCACGAUACCGCCGAGCCUUGGAGCCUUGCAGAGUCUCUCGUGGCUCGAAUUGUUCAGUAAUCUACUCGAAGCCAAAAAGCCUAGUGAUUGGAGCUUCGUUACAGCAUUGAACAACUGCACCAGUCUCCAAGUCUUGGAUCUAGGAGACAAUCUACUUCAAGGCAUGAUGCUCAAAUCAAUAGUCAAUCUUUCCACUAGUCUUAAUAUUUUGGCACUAGAAGACAACCAACUAUCAGGAAUUAUACCUGCUGAGAUUGAGAAGCUCAUCAAUCUAACUGUCCUUGACGUGAGUGGUAACAACCUUCGAGGCACCGUUCCCGUAGAAAUCGGUCAUCUUAGGCAACUACAGCUUUUAGAUCUGUCAAAUAACAUGCUUUCGGGCGAAAUUCCUCCCACUUUGGGCAACCUAACACGAAUGGACAAACUCUAUCUCGACAGCAACGAAUUUGAAGGAGCCAUUCCGCCGACAUUAAGCAACAUGUUAAUGCUAGAGUUGUUAAAUCUAUCAAAUAAUAGGCUAAGCGGUAGCAUUCCGAAAGAAGUUUUGAGCCUUUCGUCGCUCGCGAGCUUCCUUGACUUGUCACAUAAUUUACUAAACGAUUCAUUACCAUUAGAAGUGGGCAACUUGAUAAAUAUCAGGGAGCUUGAUCUCUCAAAUAAUAGGCUCUCUGGUGAGAUUCCAGACACCAUUGGCAAAUGCGCAAUCUUGGAAAUCCUUCAUCUAGCGAAUAACUUAUUUCAAGGGUCCAUUCCUUCUUCCUUGAGCAAUUUAAGAGGGCUCAAGGAGCUUGAUGUCUCAAAAAACUUCUACUCGGGCCAAAUACCCGCAUUCCUUGAUGAGCUCCCAGAUCUACGAAACUUGAAUCUCUCCUUCAACAGUUUUGAGGGUCGAGUGCUGAUGAAAGGGGUUUUUACGAAUGUGAGCGAAGUCUCGCUUAUCGGAAACCCUAAACUCUGUGGCGGAAUUCCAGAAUUACACUUGCCGAAAUGCACUUCAGAUGCCUUUGCAGCAAAACGUCACUCUGAUUAUAAACUCAAGGUAAUACUCAUUCCCAUAGGUGGAGCAAUUUUGUGUUUGAUUAUAAUCAUGUGCUUGCGUGGGAUACAUCACUUGAUAAAAAACUCCCGGAGAAAGCCGAUGUCAAGGUCUUCCUUAAGAAACCGACACACGAAAGUAUCUUACAAUGAGCUCUUCAAGGCUACACAUGGGUUCUCCUCAGAUAAUCUGAUCGGCAUGGGCAGUUUUGGGUCGGUUUAUAAAGCCGCCAUGAACUAUGAAAAUGCCGACAUUGUUGCGGUGAAAGUGUUUAACCUUCAACAGCAUGGGGCUUUCAGGAGUUUUAUGUCUGAAUGUGAGGCCUUGAGAAGCAUUCGACAUCGAAAUAUUGUCAAAAUUCUUACAUCAUGCUCUAGUUUGGAUCACCACGGUAACGAUUUCAAGGCCUUGGUUUUUGAGUACAUGCCUAAUGGGAGCUUAGAAGAGUGGCUACAUCCAAAUGCACGCGGGAAUAGGCCAUUCAGAAGCCUAAGCCUAAUCCAGAGGUUGAACAUAGCCAUCGACGUAGCCUCGGCAUUAGAGUAUCUUCAUCACCGAGGGUCUGUGCCGAUUGUUCACUGUGAUCUUAAGCUGAGUAACAUCCUUCUAGACAACGAAAUGACAGCGCACGUGAGCGAUUUUGGGUUAGCAAAGUUUCUGCGGCAACCGCCUGAUGAAUCAUCUCGGUGUUCAUCUACCGGCACUGUGGGGAUCAAAGGAUCUAUUGGUUAUGUUCCUCCAGAGUAUGGAAUGGGCUGUAAACCGUCUAGGCUCGAUGUGUACAGCUAUGGAAUUCUUCUGCUGGAGAUGUUCACUGGAAUGAGCCCCGUCGACGACAAGUUCAAAGACGGACUGAGCCUUCGUGGAUAUGUUCGUGCUGCUGCUGCUGCUUCUCCUGAACAUGUCAUGGACAUCGUAGACAGAAACCUGCACUCAGCUGAUAAUGAUAUAGCUUAUCGAGAAGAGCGUGUGCGAGAUUGCGUAGUUUCGGUGUUCGACUGCGGUCUCUCGUGCUCGAACGAAUCGCCAUACGAACGAUGCGACAUGACAAAAGUCUUAAAGGAGCUGAGUGCAGCAAGAGAGAGGUUUCUUAGGGGUAUACCCUAUUUAGACAGGAAUGGAAAGGGUUACAAAAAGUCGAAGAUAAAAGGCUAGCUACAGCCCGGAUCAACAAAAGGGUCGAAACACUGACCGAAACACAAACACGAUCAGCACCUACACCCAGACUUUACAAGACAGAAGAAAGUUGCUGGUGACCUCAAGUAAUAAUAGCGUUUCCAAUUACCAAUCAUUCCCUCAUCCUCUUAGCUCUGAUGUCCACAGAUUUACCAAGUUAUGAACUCUACUUGCCGUAUCAUCCGUUCGCGUAGAACUCCUUGGAUGAUCCCAUCGAUCAGGUAAAUCACCUGGGUGUGUAUUUAUCGAGAGUUGGGCUGCCGGAGUUGUUUGUAGGAGCUGAGCCCACACCGUCAUCGCAGGAU
Ananas comosus (pineapple) is the source of this 4051-nucleotide RNA transcript. It is a transcript of the gene named probable LRR receptor-like serine/threonine-protein kinase At3g47570, with no coding region annotated. NCBI's taxonomy places the organism in Eukaryota, Viridiplantae, Streptophyta, Magnoliopsida, Poales, Bromeliaceae. The transcript has 4 exons. The record is from RefSeq and is a predicted model, not a curated record.